ACAACUAAGAAGCCAAGAGCUAUUUAUAGAGUUUACCUUGAUCAUUGCAUAUAUUUCCUGGUCGGUCGUGGAGAUCUGAUUCAACUCAAAGAGAGUAUCAUCCUACAAGAUAGCCAAUCCUUCCGAAUUUCUUAUAGCUGGCAGGUCUAUCAUUCUUGUAAAAAGGAAAUCAUCAAGCAAAGCUUGAUGAUCUUGUAUUUUGGUCUCCAGAAGAGCCAAUAAAGGAGGGUUAUGCCAGUCCACCAACGAACUAAAAUCCUUUUGAAUUCAGUGUUAUUACCUCCUCUACAAUUCCAUAUGACAAUGUUCAUUGAUCUGUUCAGACGAGGGGGGUUGAUCAAAGGAGUGUCCACUGGGAGAGCUAUCGUGAAUUCAAGAGCCAGAG
RNAcentral lists this long non-coding RNA (385 nucleotides) under Capsicum annuum. RNAcentral describes it as "long non-coding RNA (CANN_LNC009588)". Lineage: Eukaryota; Viridiplantae; Streptophyta; Magnoliopsida; Solanales; Solanaceae. The record is from RNAcentral.